UACAGAGGUGGCAUGCGUUGUUCGGAAUUACUGGGCGUAAAGGGCGCGUAGGCGGCCAUCUAAGUCAGACGUGAAAUCCCCCGGCUUAACCUGGGAACUGCGUCUGAUACUGGAGGGCUCGAGUGCGGGAGAGGGAUGUGGAAUUCCAGGUGUAGCGGUGAAAUGCGUAGAUAUCUGGAGGAACACCGGUGGCGAAGGCGGCAUCCUGGACCGACACUGACGCUGAGGCGCGAAAGCUAGGGUAGCAAACGGG
Molecule: ribosomal RNA, 253 nt
Filed under: uncultured bacterium
Lineage: Bacteria
Description: partial 16S ribosomal RNA
Rfam family: Bacterial small subunit ribosomal RNA
Source: RNAcentral